Molecule: transfer RNA, 77 nt
Filed under: Clostridium sp. CAG:288
Lineage: Bacteria; Bacillati; Bacillota; Clostridia; Eubacteriales; Clostridiaceae
Also listed under: 3 other names
Description: transfer RNA-Arg(ACG)
Rfam family: tRNA
About the family: Transfer RNA (tRNA) molecules are approximately 80 nucleotides in length. Their secondary structure includes four short double-helical elements and three loops (D, anti-codon, and T loops).
Source: RNAcentral
GCGCCCAUAGAUCAACUGGAUAGAUUGUCUGGCUACGAACCAGGAGGUUGGGAGUUCGAGUCUUCCUGGGCGCGCCA